UACGGAGGGUGCGAGCGUCAAUCGGAAUUACUGGGCGUAAAGCGCACGCAGGCGGUUUGUUAAGCUAGAUGUGAAAGCCCCGGGCUCAACCUGGGAUGGUCAUUUAGAACUGGCAGACUAGAGUCUUGGAGAGGGGAGUGGAAUUCCAGGUGUAGCGGUGAAAUGCGUAGAUAUCUGGAGGAACAUCAGUGGCGAAGGCGACUCCCUGGCCAAAGACUGACGCUCAUGUGCGAAAGUGUGGGUAGCGAACGGG
RNAcentral lists this ribosomal RNA (253 nucleotides) under uncultured bacterium. RNAcentral describes it as "partial 16S ribosomal RNA". It matches the Rfam family "Bacterial small subunit ribosomal RNA", at positions 524 to 776 of the family's 1533-position model. The record is from RNAcentral.